CAGCCGCCGCGGUAAUACGUAGGGUGCAAGCGUUAAUCGGAAUUACUGGGCGUAAAGCGUGCGCAGGCGGUUCGGAAAGAAAGAUGUGAAAUCCCAGAGCUUAACUUUGGAACUGCAUUUUUAACUACCGGGCUAGAGUGUGUCAGAGGGAGGUGGAAUUCCGCGUGUAGCAGUGAAAUGCGUAGAUAUGCGGAGGAACACCGAUGGCGAAGGCAGCCUCCUGGGAUAACACUGACGCUCAUGCACGAAAGCGUGGGGAGCAAACAGGAUUAGAUACCCUGGUAGUCCACGCCCUAAACGAUGUCAACUAGCUGUUGGGGCCUUCGGGCCUUGGUAGCGCAGCUAACGCGUGAAGUUGACCGCCUGGGGAGUACGGUCGCAAGGUUGAAACUUAAAGGAAUUGGCGGG
This 408-nucleotide ribosomal RNA is filed under the name uncultured microorganism. Its description in RNAcentral is "bacterial SSU rRNA". It matches the Rfam family "Bacterial small subunit ribosomal RNA", at positions 509 to 917 of the family's 1533-position model. The record is from RNAcentral.